Molecule: ribosomal RNA, 433 nt
Filed under: uncultured bacterium
Lineage: Bacteria
Description: partial 16S ribosomal RNA
Rfam family: Bacterial small subunit ribosomal RNA
Source: RNAcentral
AACGAACGCUGGCGGCAUGCCUAACACAUGCAAGUCGAACGAGACCUUCGGGUCUAGUGGCGCACGGGUGCGUCACGCGUGGGAACCUGCCCUUAGGUUCGGAAUAACUCCCCGAAAGGGGUGCUAAUACCGGAUAAUGUCUUCGGACCAAAGAUUUAUCGCCUUUGGAUGGGCCCGCGUUGGUUUAGCUUGUUGGUAGGGUAAAAGCCUACCAAGGCGACGAUACAUAGCUGGUCUGAGAGGAUGAGCAGCCACACUGGGACUGAGACACGGGCCAGACUCCUACGGGAUGGAGCAGAGGGUAAUAUAGGACAACGGGCGAAGGCAUGAACCAGCAAUGCCGGGUAAGUGAUGAAGGCCGUAGAGAAGUAAAGCUCGUUUACCCGGGAUGAUAAUGACAGUACCGGGAGAAUAAGCACCGGCUAACUCCGUG